Molecule: long non-coding RNA, 372 nt
Organism: Sinocyclocheilus rhinocerous
Lineage: Eukaryota; Metazoa; Chordata; Actinopteri; Cypriniformes; Cyprinidae
Exons: 3
Source: RefSeq, a predicted model, not a curated record
AGUCCUAACUGCUUUUCCGCCGUGUUUUUCACUGUUGUAGGCUAACGUUACCAGAAAGAAUCCGUUUCUACGAUGUUUAUUUGUGUAAAUGCUGUGAGUGCGUUGAGCUCUGCGCGAGCUGGGAGCAGAGUUGCCAUGGAAACGUCUCUCGCUGCUGUUUUCACUGCUUUCAGGAGGACAGAAAGAAACUCUACAGAACAGAUGGGAAGCUCCAAGAUUUCAACAUUUCUGAAGGAGCUGCUGAUGGAGAAGUAGAAAAUACAGGUGAACUGAAGAAGCUCAUGAAAUAACUUAAUAUGCAUUUUUUCACAAUAUAUUUUACCUAUAUCCCCAUGCACCUGUUAUUUCCUUUGGCAAAAUGUGUGUGUGUGU